UCUCUCUCUCUCUGGCCGCCUUCCCCCUCCCUUUCUUAAGAGACUGAACCGCUAGCUCUUUUUCCUUUUUCUUCUGGAUCUGAACAAAGACCUGGUUGGAACUGAAAGCCUCAAACCUUAGCUCAGAGUCUCCGUUGACACCCCCCACCACCACCAGUCCCAGGCAUAGCUGAUCCCAGGGGCUGACCCAGGCAGUUCCUCUGAUGUUCUGGGGCAAGGAUCCCAUGGAGGAGACUGGGUGCCACGGGGUCUUGGAUGUGAGCCUGGGAUGUAAAAGAAGGGAUAGGGACACCCAGAAAUGCUCAAGGGAUUCCCACUUGGUGAAUACUUUGUCACUUGGCCAAAGCUCCUUCUUUUCAAUGGCAGCACCUCCUCCCAUCUUUGUUGGGGUCUCAAAGAUUGGACUGGGUGGACUGUGGGGAGUCACGUGAAAGGCAUGGCCAGGGUUUGCAGAAGUGGGGUACCUGGGCUCUGUGCUGGAAUUGCUAUGGCCCAUAGGGCCUCUCUCCUACCCCAGUUCCCUCUAGGUGAUGUGGAACCAGAGGUCCAGUUGCUUCCCCACCCCACAAUGGUAACCCCAGGUAAAUUCUCCCAAGCAUCAGCUGUCCUCUCUGGACUCCCCCACCACCACAACUCCCACUUUUAUAAAGAGAGGCGCUUGAUUAGCCUGUUGGACUAGCCAGUGCCUCCCACACUUGCCUGGGCAAAGAACUCCCUGACCCUGUCCCCAGUCCCGCUUCCCAGCCUCCUGCCCCUGGAAACUGGAAUACUACAGUUUGAUGGGGGAAGCCUAAGAGUUGGACCUUUUACAUGCUGCCUUGGAGAUUCUUCAUAAUUUUGCAAAUAUUGAUGGUGCACUUAACUAUGUGCCAGCUUCUGUGCUAUUCUCCAGGGCUCCAGGGACAUGGCAAUGAUUGGCCCUUGGAGACCAAGGGAAUGGGAAGAUGCCUUCUGCUCAGAGCUACACUGCCAGAUCUUUGCUCCAUUAAACCCUCCCCCAGGCCCUACCUUGGGCAGUUGUUAGAUAGCCUCUGAGAAAAGGCCUGACCCCAGCCAGGAAGCUGCAAUCCCAGGCAUAGCUGAUCCCAGGGCUUAACCAGGCAGAAAAGCCACUAAGGAGCUUGGUGUUGCUGUUGUAACUUGUCCCAGCUCCUAGGGCUCCUGCCAGUUCAUUCCCUCUCUGACUUUCUGGAAAAAGUAUAAAAUAGCAGUCCUCACAGCAUCUCCCCAGCAUAUGCCCUCCCCACCCUCCUACGCCCACACGCCAGGGAUGCUGCAUCACUGCAGGGGAAGGUUCCAGAUCUGAAUAGGAUCCAUAGCCCUGAGAAAAGUCCAUUUCAGUGGUGACCAAGUUGGUAAAACAGGACCUGGUGGGGCACCUGGCCUUACCUUCCCAGGUACGUGGUCAUGAACCAUUACCUUCAUGCUUUCUGUUUUCCUCCCCUCCCUACUCCUCAGGAGUAUGGGUUCCCACCUGCUGCUGGCAGGGCUCUGGCAUCCAGCCUCACCACCAUGCUUUUACACCUGCCAGCCCUCUACCUGGAAGGCCCGUCCUGCAUCCUUUUUCCCUGGUAAACUCAGGGUCCUUAAGGAUACUUUUUGAAACUUUGGCCAGCAGCCCCUUCCUGCCCAUAGUGUGUUGCCAAGACCCCUGCACUGGCCACUACGAGUUGUCAUCUCUUCAUUGGUCUGCUCUACAGAACCGAGUUCCCAAAGGGCACCUGGGCAUUUCACAUAGGGCUUCUAGGCAAAGAGGUUUGGGGGAUGAAGGGAGAGAGAGGGCUGGCACAAGGCCAGGGCUCCUCAAGCACAGCUGCUCUGAUGGCUUCUCAAGGGAAGGGAGUCACAGAGAUCCAACAGCAUCUCACACCCUCCUGCACAAGCAUCCCAGGUGCUCUUCUGCCCUCCUGAGCCCAGGGAGCUGCACCAUGACUUCAUCUUGGCCUCUGGCUCAGGACUGGGCUCAGCAUCAAUGCUUAAGGAAGGGCUUGGGGCCCUGGAAUGGCUUUGGGAUGGCUGGAGAGGCAGCAUGGCACAUCCUCUUCCAGUGAUGCCCAACCAGCAGGCCUCUUGUCCUCUUAUCAGCACCACCUGGGAACAAACUGCCCUUAACCCCAUGAGACAUUUGGCAGGACCUCUCUGGGGCUCAGUUUCCCUGUCUGCAUCUUGGCUUCCCUCUCAGUUCUGGGAAGCAAGACAGGAGUGAGGUUUAGCUGUGGAUCUCUUUAUCGAAGCAAUUUUGAAGCCCAAAACACAGAGUGUUCCUCUCAGGUGUGAUGCCAGUCUGCCUAUCAUGUGCCAGGGCUGUGGGUUUGCAGCUGCAACAAAAGAUGGGACCUUUGCCCUCAUGGAGCUUACAGUCUGGUGGGGAGACUGGACAAAGAGAAGCAGGCAGAGGACAUGGCUCUGGCCUCCGUCUCCCUGCCCCACCUGCCCCACCUGCCCCAGUGCUGGUCAGCCCUCCAGUGGGGAGUGGAGCACCAGAGGAAGACCAAGGUGGCUCACUUAACCCUGGGGAAAGGCUGGUAACAAGGCUGUUGUUUGAUCUCCAUCUCAUACAAGAAGAGACUGAGACCCAAGGAAGACAGAGGCUUGUGUAGGGAGCUGACAAGGGUCACUUCAUAUGCCACAGGGUGGCUGCUCCAUUGGAGCCUUCUGUCUUCCUGCUGAGGCACAGAUAACCACAAACCACUUAAAAUUUAGCAUUUCAGCCCUUAGUCGCUCGAACCAUAUUUUAAUUACUUAGUGGCCCCUUGUAGUCAGUGGCCGCCAUAUCAGACAGCACAACUAUGGAACAUUUCCAUCAUCACAGAAAACUGUUCAUGCUACUCUAGAGCAGAGGUCUGUAAACUUCUGCGCCUCAUCUGGCCCACACCUACCUUAUAAAGUUGUAUGUACUGAACAAGCACGUUAUUUUGCAUAUUGCUUUUUUCAGAAAGUUCUGUUAGGGCUGCUCUAGGGCAGGGGUCAGCAAACUACAGCCUAUGCACCAAAUCUGGUCCACUACCCAUUUUAUAAAUAAGGGUCUUUUUAUAAUACAACCUGUUUAUUCACAUAUUGCCUGUUGGGGCUGCUCUCUGAACUACAGACUUCAUCUGGCCUAUAAAUCUGGCUGAAAAAUGUACUGCCUUGCCCUUUACAGAAAAUGUUUACUGAUCCCUCCUCUACAGAAAGUCUCAGAGCACAAUCUGACAACCAUUGGUCUAAAACUGAUUCUCAAAGUGCGGUCCCUGGACCAGGAGUAUCAGCAUCACCUGGGAAUACAAGUUCUCAGGCCCCAAUUCCAUCCUGGUGAAUCAGAAAUGCUGGAGUUGGGACCCAGGAAUCUGUCUUAGCCAGCCUGGUAUCCAAGUGAUCCUGAUGCAUGGAAAACCCCUGUUCUAAGACACCCAGGAUGUGCCAACAAGUGACUGGCACAGGAAGAGUGUUAAUGGGCUCCCCCUGGGUAACAAAAGAGUUUGAAGGAAAUGUCAGGAGAGUGAUAACCCAUCCACUGCCUAAUCCCUUUGCAGCAAAGCCUUGACAGGGCUUCCACAGAGGCUGUGCCCUGGCAGAGAGCUACCCGCGAUGCCCAGGCCCCGCCCCCCGCCGCCUGUGUGCCCCGCCCUCCGCCGCGUUGUUAGCACAUUGAAGCAGCCGCUGCGCAUAAAUUCAUGGACCAGCUGUCUCUUUUAAUCUGGUCGCAAGAUGAAACCAUUAAUAGAUGUCAGACACAUUGGCAAUGAUCUCUUCAUUAAUAAUUUCCUCCUUUCUGAGGAAAAAAAAAUUAGUAACAAGCAACCAUCAAUAAUUCAGAAAUACAAGUUAACCUUUCUAUUAGCAGAGUCACUGUGUGCACACUGCUCACUCUUUCCAGAGCCAGAAGUUCUGGCUUGAGUAAUGUUUUGAUGGCAGGAAUAUUAAUAUGCAUUAAUGCUGUCUGUCAAGACCCGCAAAUAUAAAUAACCCAAAUGCAACUUAGAAAUCAUAAGUAUGUUUCCAGUUUAACCUCAUGAUCCAGCCAUUUUGUUCUAUAAAGGCAUGCAUUAUCCAAUAAUAUUGCUCUGUCCAAAAGCAGGACUUGACAAAGGAAUCCAUUUUCGGUGGUUAUGCUGAACUAACACUACUGCUCUGGACUUCCUUCCCUUCAAAGCUGGCUCUUCUCUCUGGGACACACAGAAAGAGCCUGGACGCAUUUUCAAGUGACCUGCAUUUGGAUGUUGAAUGUGCUCCCAGUAGAUGUUCCAACUCCUAACUCCCUUUCUGGUCCUAUUUGUAUGUGAUUUUUCAGGCCCACGACACCUGGUUCCUCUUCCCUGCCGUGCUCCAUUUUGGAAACACCCCUAUUCUAGAGGGGUUUGUGCCUGCCCAUUCCUUGCACUUCCAUUCACCACCCAAAUGACCACAAACUAGCCACUUUCCCUCUCCAAAUCUGUUUCCCCAUCUGUGAAAUUGGAGUGAUUAUCCCCACCUCAGUGAGCUGAUGUGGGAAUUAAGUGAGUUAAUGGAUGUAAACACCUAGAAUAGGGCCUGCACCAUUCGGGAGAUUAUUUCCUGUCCUUUCUUCCUACUCCAAGUCUUAGUUUCACCAUGCCACUCCAGCCUUGGCUCCAGGCCAUCUCUCCUAGACACCUGGAACGCAGCUCGGCAGGGACGGCCAGCUGCUCCUCCUUGGGCCAAAACACCAGCCCAUGGUCCAAACGAUUGGCAAGUGGACCUCAGUGUCUGGAGUAUCCUGAAUUUAAUGCGAGGACUGCCUCUUGCCCAAGUGGAAUCUGUCGAGCAGCUGUUUCUUUUAAUUAAAAAAAGAAACUAAGUGAUGUGUAGCAAGCACACCCCCAUGGAUGUUUGCACGCCUCUUGGAAUGUCAAGUUAAAGUAACCCCAUCCCAGACAAAUUCACAAUCGACCCACACUGAGAGAUCACACCAGUGCACACUGGGAAUAGGAUGGUGUUAGUGUCGCAGUUGGAAUGACAGACGUCAAAUAUGAUUGACAUAAGGCCCCACCCUUUGCUCCUUGCUUCCAGCAAAGUGGCUUCUCUGAGAAAGAGAAAAGCCACUAUUCUUGCAGUCACCUAGUGCCUGGAAGUGGGACACAUGCUUUUUCAGCACUGAGGUCCCCCCAAGACUCUCAGCCCUUCUCCCAAUCCCUCACUCCAAAAUGGAUUCUAGAAGGUUCCAAGUCAGAAUGGACUCAUUACUGUGAGAUGAGGUGAACCAUUGCUCCUCCCCGUGCCCUGAAAUGACCUGAACUCCACCUUCAACUCCUGGCUGCCUCCAGAAUCAUCCUAUUCAACCCCUUUUCACACACAGAAGCCAGAGUGUUUAUGAUACUCACUCCACAACCUAUCACUCACUUAGAGCCCACAUUGAUGCCCCACUACCCAUGGCAUGAAGUCCACAGUCCUUAUCCAACAAGACCCUCCACUGGCUGUGCCCAGCCUUCCCUUCUAUGCCGAUCCCCUCCCUAAUUCUCCUUAGUUCCAGCCCAGGGAAGUCCUCACUAGGUAAAGAAGGAAAGAAGGGCAUUCCGUUGGCCACACUCCAUUCAUACACGCUCUUUUCUCCAAGCCACUCAGGACAACUCACCCUUGUCUCCUUCGGGGACUUUGACAGGAAUGCCAGGUUCAAAAUCCAUACCCUUCCUUGUCCACAUCCAGGCAUCUAAGCCAUUAUCCAUCAAGGCUGGACUUUGGGCAGUGUCCACGGGCUGGACUGUAGUGGCCUGGAUGAAGACUGAGUUCCUUUCCAUUUGUAUCAUUUGCAGAUCUUCAUUCUCCACAAAGGUGGUAGUCUUGAGGGUGCCCGGACUGUCUUACAAAACCUCGUGUUCCCAAAGCCAAGCCCCAGUAUGGCAUACAUCAGGCACUCAGGAAAUGUUGCUUAAGAUGAAGGUCAAUUUUUUUUGUCUCAUCCAGGAUGAGUUCUUUUCAAACAGAAGGGAGGUAACCCAUUUGUUAAGAGCUAUGGGGAGACCCAGUCCUAAGAGAGGAUCCAAAAAAAAAAAAAGGCUCUUGGGGGUGUAGGAAGAGACAUAGUAGUGAUGGGCUCAUCACUGUGGAUUCGCCACAGAGGGCUUGGAGCCUUUAGUGGCCUGUCUGCCAGAGGUGCAGAGCCGCCUCCAGGUGGAUGGGGUCGGCCUCUCCCUCCCCUUCCACCCCUUCUUUCCUAACCCCCCCCCCUCUCCACAUCUCAGCUGCAUUUCCAUCAGUAGUCAGAAAAAUUGGAUAAUGACACCAUAUACAGUUCUCCCAUCUUAGCACCCUCAGUAAAAGAUGAGACCUUCUGCAGCAUCCUCCCCAACUCUAUCCAGAGAAAGACCCAGUAAAGACACAGAGGGGCUGAUCUGGUUCACAUUCCAUUUCCUGAACUAAUCGAUUUGGUUCAGGAAGGGAAGGGAUAGGUAUCUAAUUGACCAGCCGAGGUCAUUGUUCACUUCUCUCCGAUGAGGACGGUCACCACAACUGACAAUCCUGCAAAGACAGAAUGGAGUCGCGAGGUGUAUUUCUUCCCAGUGGUUUUACCCAGUCCAGUAUUAUCUGCCCACCUCACUUAGGAGACAGAACAUUGCUGAGGCCCUUCAGUAAGUGGUCUGGAGACCUAACCAGUUAGCCAAGUUCUGUCCUCUACCUACCUCCUCCUCCUCUCACCUAACACGUGUUCCAACCCCUCACACCCACAUAGACUCUGUGUUUUGUACACACAGCCACCCUUUCGUCUUCAUCAAAGCACAAAUGCUGUUCUCAAAACAUUUCCAAUCAGCCAGAAAUUCCAUAGCUAAUCCAGUGGCAUAAAUACUCCUAGUUCCUUAAGUUUCUGAAAACGGUAUCUGCUUAAGAAGUAUUUUGUGACACUCCAUAGAAGAACAUUUCAUCAAAUUCCUAGCAGUGAGCAUCAGCCCCCAGAAUCCCCUUCACCCCUCCACAGAACAGAGCUGGGGAGAUGGCAGAGGACCCUGGAGCCCACUGAGAUUAUUCAGGGGCAUAAUGGUCCAGACUGCACACAUUUAUCCAAGCCAUUCUCAUGUUGACAAGUCGUUAUUUCUACAAGCCAAAAAAAAUGUUAUAAACUUAAGGCAGGAUGAGAGUUUGUUGAAAUGAAUGUGAAGAAUGGAGGGUACAAACCUGGCAUGGAAAACCACGGAAAACACCACCUGGGAACACAGCAUCUGUUGUACCUGGAUGCCGGUCUCCAGAGUGGCACAAUUUGGGGUCGGUUUGAGGACAGAAUGUGCCUGUGCUUGCAGGAGGGGCUGACGGGUAUGGGGAAGGUGCAAGGGAAAUCCUUUACCCACAACACAGUACAGCCCUGUCUGCCCUUGAAGCUUAAAGAUUGAUGAUUCUGGGGAUUUUUUCACUUUGGUUUUGCUUCUACCUCUGGAGUGUUUGAACUCAGAGAUUUUGAGCGCUGACUCUGAGCCGUGAGCAGCUACAGGCCUCAUGUGCAUCACCAACCCUAUGAUUCUCACGUAUAGAUAAGGAAACUGAGGCACAGGGAGGUCUGUCAAUUUGUGAUCAGUAUUGGCUUUAGAUUUCAUAUUCCUUUCAACCACUCCUGUACAUGUUAGUGUCACUGUAAUUGUGUCUCCCAAUCCUGGACCAACAAUACCAGAAUCAUCAGGGAACUUCAAGUCCAUCCAUCUCAAAACCCUUUUUGUUUUACAGACAUUUCAAUAGAGCUUGGCCAGUAAGCAAAAAUAAAUAGGGUUCGGUUUACCCAGAAGCCAGAUCCCAUGUAAUAAGUUCUGGGAUAUGUUUUCCCGAGAGCAGGAGAACGUACGUACACUUGUAGUUUGGUCUCAUUUUGUUUUUUCUUAGUCUGUACCUUCCCUAGGAACCAUGGACAGAUGGUUCAUGGACAUCAUAUAUCCCCUAAACAGUCCUCAAAUUGACAAAGAUGAUGCUAUCCCAGUGCCCACGUGGAGUCAAACCCCCGCUUCAGGAGACCAGACCCCUGUAGACUUCUUGUUUCCUAGGAGAAGAACACUAACGGCCCCUGAUAGCUUUUAAGUGAAAUGCCUGGAAUUUUGCAAGCUCUUAAUAAUCAAACUUCUCAACUCUGAUAGGAUUCAAAGUAAUCAGCCAUUGACAAAUGUUAAAUAUUUCCUUGUUGCUAAUAAUGCCUCUCCCCUUUCCCUUUUUUCCCUCCUCUAACCUUUCUAACAUGAAUUUAUUUUCCAUUUGAAAGCCAAUCUCACUGGUUAUUAGAUAUUCCCCCUGCUGUCACUAUCAGUAAAUUAUUAAACAGCUGACCAAGCUUUGUUUUAAAAUGAUUCUCUUAUGAAGCUCGGUGAUACAUUUGCCAUGAAUACCGAAUGGCGCCGCCGUCUCUAAGGACGCGUGAAUGAUUCCUAUUUACUACCUUUAGCGAAGUGUGUGUGCAAUUAGUAGCAAGAACUUGACUUGAAUCACAGCAGAGGUGGCCGAAGCUCAUUUCCAUGGAGCUCUUUCCCCUCAUUACACUCCAUCCUGGGAGAAGGAUGUGAAGCUUCGGGGCCAUGUCACAAGAUAGCACAUGUACCUGCUUUUUGUCAUUCCUCACCUCCUUUCUGGUCUUGCUACCCCUGAGCCUCAACAUACCUGGGGGAAUCCCUUCCUUCCUUAAUGGAGCAGUUGGCUCUGGAUGAGAUUCAUUUAAAGAAAAGAAAGCUGAUUGGGAUUAAAACUACUUAACCUGUUUGUAUUUUUCACUUUCUCAUCUAUAGAAUGGAGCUCACAAGCUCUACCCCCUGGAUUCCAUCAUGAAAGCAAAGUGCUGAGCACAAUACCUGGCAUCUAGUAAAUGCACAGGAGCUGGUAGCUACUGGUUUCCUAUUGACUACUACAUUGGUCCAGAUUCUCCAGGUCGAAAGCAACAGAAAUGGUCUCCACUUCGCUUAAGCUAAGGAGAAAAUGUGUUGGCUCACCUAAUCCAAUAGCAGUUGGUCACUCGGGGUCGAACCUAGAAACUGCUUCAAGUAUUGACCACGGAGGCAUUUGAUGCAGGAAAUUGGCUACACAGAUGAUGAAGGAGUUGAGAGAAGGAAGGCAGCCUUGGUCCCAGGAUGAAGAAGACAUGGAGCAGAGAGUGUCUUGCCAAUUCAUAAUGGGCACACAGUGUGAGCUGAUAAAUAAACCUUUGUUUUAAGCCACGGCAA
Non-coding RNA from Ictidomys tridecemlineatus (thirteen-lined ground squirrel), 9116 nucleotides. NCBI's taxonomy places the organism in Eukaryota, Metazoa, Chordata, Mammalia, Rodentia, Sciuridae. The record is from RefSeq and is a predicted model, not a curated record.